UUCCCUAGAAUUUCUUAAGAUUUCUUGGCUACUUACUUAUUUUGUUGAGGGCUGAUUUCUUUUCCAUGGUAGAUUAUUUUAUCACAUAUAAUGCUUUACUUUUUUGUGGAGGGCUGAUUUCUUUCUUGUAAAAGGUAAGAGAUUCCUAAAAAAACAGGACCCCUAGAGUCUUAUAUAAAUCCUUGUAUCUUUCAUGAAGAGGACAAUGAAUAAUUUUACAAACUCCACAAAUACUUGUGUUAAUCGCUCCGAGAGGGAGAGGGUGUGAGACCCAAAAUCG
Molecule: long non-coding RNA, 280 nt
Filed under: Elaeis guineensis (African oil palm)
Lineage: Eukaryota; Viridiplantae; Streptophyta; Magnoliopsida; Arecales; Arecaceae
Description: long non-coding RNA (EGUI_LNC035736)
Source: RNAcentral